Cryptomeria japonica (Japanese cedar) is the source of this 2461-nucleotide long non-coding RNA. RefSeq lists it as uncharacterized. Lineage: Eukaryota; Viridiplantae; Streptophyta; Pinopsida; Cupressales; Cupressaceae. The record is from RefSeq and is a predicted model, not a curated record. The transcript has 2 exons.
UUUUCUUGGAUUUUUUUUCUUCACAUACUUUGCUUGGAUUUUUUAAAAUACAGAUAUGCUUGUAUAAUCCAUGGAAUGAGCGUUGCAAAGAAAAAGAAAACGAAACAAACCACAUGACCUAACCCUAGAAAAGAAAACUUGAAAUCGCAUUUAAACCCUAAUUCGCAACCUCAUUGCUUUGCCUUUCUCUUGUUUUCUUCUACUGUGCAGGUCAGAGCAGCAGCGGUCAUGAAAGCAUGAGCCUGCAGAACUGGUGUGGAGGACGGCAUUUUUUUUGUGUAUUUUAUAGUUAUUCAAAUUUUCAAUUUUUUUAUAUUUUUUUUGAAUGAAAGAGGGACAGAGCGGUUGGGACGACUCGGUUCAAUUCUGCCCGACGUGAUCGUAGAUCAUAAAGCUCAAAACAAAUCAGAUGCCAUUGUGUUGAGCUUCUGAGAGGCGAGAGCAACCCGUUCACCUGUGCCGCCUCUUGUCGCGGUACAAUCCGCGUUCUUGGCUUCUGUCUGCCACAGAUCAAUAAGCAGCUCUUCCAGUUUAGGGCUCUGCUUCUGGUAGGGUUAAAACCGUAAUUUUAUUAAAAUUUAGUUAUUAAGGUUUAUCAUUUAAUUAAUGGGCGUGAUUUAAGAGGUUUCCAUCGUAGGCGUAUAACCGAAUCAAAAUAGGGGAAACAAAAAAAACAGGAAGAGAAAAUUGCAUAGAUGUAGUUCUCAAACAUAAAGGAAGGUUCUAGAAAUUACUAAGUUUUAAUGAAAAUUUUCCAAUUUUUUAUAAGUUUUGUAUUUUUAUUGCAAAAUUGAUUAGCACGAUGCCAUUUUUCAAUCCGGAGAAGGAACAAAAACUGUGGGAUGUAUAUUUGAAAAAAAUCGGUAGCGUGCAUUGGUCGUUGCAGGGCUUUCAUCAUAGGGCAUCUAACCUCGGAAGAUUCAAAAAGUGUCAAGAAACGACUACGAUCGAUUAAGAAAAAGAAACAUUUGAAGCAGUUUUUGAAUACAUUUUGAAGGAUCAUUGAGUUGUGCAACGCAAUUAUGAUCGAAUUUCUUUUUGUUAAUCUGAUUUUUUUUCCGAUUCUAACUGUGUAGCACAAUUCAUCGAUCCUUCAAUGAUGUAUUGAUGAGCUGCUUCAAUUUUUUUUUUUCAUAUAGAGUUUUCCAAAGUCAAUGUAUAAGAUGCAAGGGUAAUGAUUUCUUGCGGGAGAUCUAUGCAUGCAUUAUGUUCUCGGAUAUUUGGGAUCAGAUACCCUAUAAUGGAAAGCCUUGCGAGACCAUCAGCGCUCUCAAUGUAUUUCGUAACUGUAGAUAUUACGCAAGCUAGAAGAGGCAUCCCAGCCAAGUAACUUUAGAAGCUAGAAAUCUUAUGGCAGUCCUGAAAAAUCUAUACAAGGAAUUACAGCCUACAGAUAGAAGUGUACUACGCUGAAUAGCAUGAUUCAACAGCAAAUGAUUUCAGGUAACCUGCGUCAAAGUACUGAAAUGGUGGAGGCUAACAAAUACUCUUAUCUUAGUAAUGUUCCUCUGGAAUCUCUGUUUUAUGCGGGAUUGGAGAAGUAUGUUGGGAUUUGAAGGAGCUUUUAUUCCAAAGCGAGGUGUCUGUUGUUGGGGUGCAUUCUAUGGGGGGAUGGUGGGAAAGCGAUUUUGGCCUCGGCUAUUUGCAAUGAUCACCAUAUCAAAGGGCUCAUUUCGAGGAAUUACUACUAGAAGUGCCAGAGUACAAGACUGUUAUCAUAACUAGAGACAGUUCUAUCAUCCCCAUAAAGCCCUGUACUCAAUUGUAUCAGUUGCCAGUUCUGGGCCAUGAGGAUGCUCUCUCGCAUUUUUGCUUCUUGGCCUUUGGACAGACAUCAAUUCUAAGUACCGCAAAUGCAAAUCUAGUUAUGGAGUUAUAGUCUUUUAUAACCAAAAAAAACCUUGAAUAAGCUCAAAGUUUUUUAUCGAAUUAAAUAGGGGCAACAACAAAUUUAAAAUGAUUUACGUGCUUAUUUGUGUUUUUGCUUUAAGAACUUGCAGGUGCAAGCUUAAUGUGACCUGGUUGAACGCAAGUAAUAAGCUUUCUCAGGGGGAAUUCAUAUCCAGUGAGCACAAAGAAGGCCUUUUUAGAUGCUUGAAGACCGGUAUCGAUCUUUUGGAUUAUUUUGGGAGAGAAUACAUAUCAGAUUUGGUCUCAUAUUCAGAGAAUGCAGGCUAGACAUUUGGGUUGAUCUUCUGAAGCUGGAGUGGCAAGAUACUUUUAUCAUUUUAUUGUAACUUGCAAGCAAAAAAUCCCUUGAAUUUACUCAGCAGUCCAGAGUAGUUGCCUUACAUAAAUUAAAUUUCUUGCUAUAAUUUUUUUCCAUUGAUCUGAUAUUGUGUCUGUAAUUAUCAAAAGCCAAGCAACAAUAUCUUAUGUAAAUGCCUCCUGAACUGCAUUAGAAUGUAAUUAGCAGCCAAGGGUAUUUGUCUAAUCCUUAUAUUUAUUAAAUUUCAUGCUA